This 468-nucleotide ribosomal RNA is filed under the name uncultured bacterium. RNAcentral describes it as "partial 16S ribosomal RNA". It matches the Rfam family "Bacterial small subunit ribosomal RNA", at positions 28 to 507 of the family's 1533-position model. The record is from RNAcentral.
GACGAACGCUGGCGGCGUGCUUAACACAUGCAAGUCGAACGGAAAGGCCCUGCUUUUGUGUGGUGCUCGAGUGGCGAACGGGUGAGUAACACGUGAGUAACCUGCCCUUGACUUUGGGAUAACUUCAGGAAACUGGGGCUAAUACUGGAUAGGAGCUCCUGCUGCAUGGUGGGGGUUGGAAAGUUUCGGCGGUUGGGGAUGGACUCGCGGCUUAUCAGCUUGUUGGUGGGGUAGUGGCUUACCAAGGCUUUGACGGGUAGCCGGCCUGAGAGGGUGACCGGCCACAUUGGGACUGAGAUACGGCCCAGACUCCUACGGGAGGCAGCAGUGGGGAAUAUUGCACAAUGGGCGGAAGCCUGAUGCAACAACGCCGCGUGCGGGAUGACGGCCUUCGGGUUGUAAACCGCUUUCGCCUGUGACGAAGCGUGAGUGACGGUAAUGGGUAAAGAAGCACCGGCUAACUACGUG